GGGGUGUCCAUCCCGAAGCAACUGAGCUUCUUUCUAUGUCUUAGUGCUUUACCGAUUUUGCAUAUUGUAUAUUGUUAUGCAUUAUAGGGUGAUGAUACAUGCAUUUCUACUCCUUGUAUGAUGUCUAUGAUUAAUAUAGUAUUAUGAUAUGGAUACUUGAUGUAAUGGACAUAAGGAUUGGGAAAUGACAUUGGUAAACCUAUGAUGCUAAAUGAAAGAGGAACCUAGUGUUGUGUCUAAAGACAUAGUUUACUAGUGGCAUUGGAUUUAGUGUGAUAGAAACACUUAUAACUUGGACGAGUGGCAUUGGAACCUAGUUAUGAUAUAUGCAUGAGAAUCUAGUGUAGUUGACACUUAUGACAUUGAACAUAGGGAAUAGGUGCAUUUUCUUAGUUUGUGGCAUAUUGCAUGAGAUGGCAUAUGCAUGAGAAUCUAGUGUAGUUGGCACUUAUAGCAUUGAACAUAGGGAAUAGGUGCAUUUCUCUAGUUUGUGGCAUAUUGCAUGAAAUGGCAUAUUG
RNAcentral lists this long non-coding RNA (518 nucleotides) under Ananas comosus (pineapple). RNAcentral describes it as "long non-coding RNA (ACOM_LNC035091)". The record is from RNAcentral. Lineage: Eukaryota; Viridiplantae; Streptophyta; Magnoliopsida; Poales; Bromeliaceae.